AACGAACGCUGGCGGCAUGCCUAACACAUGCAAGUCGAACGGGAUCCUCGCUUGCUAGGUUAGAGUGGCGGAAGGGUGAUUAACACGUCGGACUCUGCCCUUUGGUCCGGGUUAACCGCGGGAAACUGCGGCUAAUACCGGAUGCCCUCGUGAGAGGAAAGAGUUAUCGCCAGAGGAGGAGCACCCGUCGGAUUAGGCAGUUGGUGGGGUAAAGGCCUACCAAGCCGACGAUCGGUAGCUGGUCGGGGAGGAUGAUCAGCCACACUGGGACUGAGAUACGGCCCAGACUCCUACGGGAGGCAGCAGUGGGGGAUAUUGGACAAUGGGGGCAACCCUGAUCCAGCAAUGCCGCGUGAAUGAUGAAGGCCUUAGGGUUGUAAAGCUCUAUUGCCAGGGAAGAUGAUGACUGUACCUGGAGAAUAAGCCCCGGCUAACUUCGUGCCAGCAGCCGCGGUAA
RNAcentral lists this ribosomal RNA (457 nucleotides) under uncultured bacterium. RNAcentral's name for it is "partial 16S ribosomal RNA". It matches the Rfam family "Bacterial small subunit ribosomal RNA", at positions 29 to 523 of the family's 1533-position model. The record is from RNAcentral.